Molecule: long non-coding RNA, 637 nt
Organism: Carassius auratus (goldfish)
Lineage: Eukaryota; Metazoa; Chordata; Actinopteri; Cypriniformes; Cyprinidae
Exons: 3
Source: RefSeq, a predicted model, not a curated record
UGGCGUGGGCGGGACACGGGAACAGCUCUGGCGUCUUCAUAAUGAUGGUAUCCAAGUCUCCGAUCCAGUACGGGUGAACGCCUAAAACCAUGUGGACAUGUGGAGUUACAUAAGAUGCGCUCUCAAGGUUGGACGACGCGAACAGCAUACGCACCAUUGUUGCUGGACUGAAGUUUGUUAUCAUCGGCUUGCAGACCCUCUUCCCGCGUAGCGACACACAUUCUCCAGAAACUGCUUUCCUGUUCCAGAGGAGCCAUCACAUCAGUCAGACAAGGCACUACUAUUCCUCUGUAUAAAGAGCAGUUAACAACCAAAAAAAAAAAGAAAAAAAGUCUACACUCUGACAGCUGAGGGGUAAUGAGUUGGGCAGAACCACAGAAUCUCCCAUCACACCAGCCAUGUGAUAAUGAUUCACUUCAGCAGGAGACAUCCCUGUGAUCCAGGGAGGCACGCCAGAACUAAGAGUGCAUGGAAAACUUUUGAGAAAUACUCUGGCAUUCUCAGAUAUCAUCAUCAUCAUCAGGAUUCAUCAAAUGUGAAACUAAUGCAUACAAGCCUCACAGUUCAGUGCCGCUUUACAAUGUUUGUAUAUAAUUGUAUAUCAAUUUUAGAUCGAACAUUUAACUGUAUUUUUACA